GGCGCAUAGCGCAGUGGUAGCGCGUCCGCUUUGCAAGCGAAGGCCCGGUUCAAUCCCGGUGUGUCCA
RNAcentral lists this transfer RNA (67 nucleotides) under Phytophthora infestans (potato late blight agent). RNAcentral's name for it is "tRNA-Ala". It matches the Rfam family "tRNA". From Rfam's summary of the family: Transfer RNA (tRNA) molecules are approximately 80 nucleotides in length. Their secondary structure includes four short double-helical elements and three loops (D, anti-codon, and T loops). Lineage: Eukaryota; Oomycota; Peronosporomycetes; Peronosporales; Peronosporaceae. The record is from RNAcentral.